UACGUAGGUUCCAAGCGUUGUCCGGAUUUAUUGGGCGUAAAGCGAGCGCAGGUGGUUUAUUAAGUCUGGUGUAAAAGGCAGUGGCUCAACCAUUGUAUGCAUUGGAAACUGGUAGACUUGAGUGCAGGAGAGGAGAGUGGAAUUCCAUGUGUAGCGGUGAAAUGCGUAGAUAUAUGGAGGAACACCGGUGGCGAAAGCGGCUCUCUGGCCUGUAACUGACACUGAGGCUCGAAAGCGUGGGGAGCAAACAGG
RNAcentral lists this ribosomal RNA (252 nucleotides) under uncultured bacterium. RNAcentral describes it as "partial 16S ribosomal RNA". It matches the Rfam family "Bacterial small subunit ribosomal RNA", at positions 524 to 776 of the family's 1533-position model. The record is from RNAcentral.